Molecule: ribosomal RNA, 483 nt
Filed under: uncultured bacterium
Lineage: Bacteria
Description: partial 16S ribosomal RNA
Rfam family: Bacterial small subunit ribosomal RNA
Source: RNAcentral
AUUGAACGCUAGCGGGAUGCUUUACACAUGCAAGUCGAACGGCAGCGCGGACUUCGGUCUGGCGGCGAGUGGCGAACGGGUGAGUAAUGUAUCGGAACGUGCCCAGUAGCGGGGGAUAACUACGCGAAAGCGUAGCUAAUACCGCAUACGCCCUACGGGGGAAAGCAGGGGAUCGUAGACCUUGCACUAUUGGAGCGGCCGAUAUCGGAUUAGCUAGUUGGUGAGGUAACGGCUCACCAAGGCGACGAUCCGUAGCUGGUUUGAGAGGACGACCAGCCACACUGGGACUGAGCCACGGCCCAGACUCCUACGGGAGGCAGCAGUGGGGAAUUUUGGACAAUGGGGGCAACCCUGAUCCAGCCAUCCCGCGUGUGCGAUGAAGGCCUUCGGGUUGUAAAGCACUUUUGGCAGGAAAGAAACGUCGCGGGCUAAUACCCCGUGGAACUGACGGUACCUGCAGAAUAAGCACCGGCUAACUACGUG